Molecule: non-coding RNA, 29 nt
Filed under: Cricetulus griseus (Chinese hamster)
Lineage: Eukaryota; Metazoa; Chordata; Mammalia; Rodentia; Cricetidae
Source: RNAcentral
AGGGGCUGGAGAGAUGGCUCAGGAGUUAA